AGUGAACGCUGGCGGUAGGCCUAACACAUGCAAGUCGAACGGCAGCACAGUAAGAGCUUGCUCUUACGGGUGGCGAGUGGCGGACGGGUGAGGAAUACAUCGGAAUCUACUUUUUCGUGGGGGAUAACGUAGGGAAACUUACGCUAAUACCGCAUACGACCUACGGGUGAAAGCAGGGGAUCUUCGGACCUUGCGCGAUUGAAUGAGCCGAUGUCGGAUUAGCUAGUUGGCGGGGUAAAGGCCCACCAAGGCGACGAUCCGUAGCUGGUCUGAGAGGAUGAUCAGCCACACUGGAACUGAGACACGGUCCAGACUCCUACGGGAGGCAGCAGUGGGGAAUAUUGGACAAUGGGCGCAAGCCUGAGCCGGCCAUACCGCGUGGGUGAAGAAGGCCUUCGGGUUGUAAAGCCCUUUUGUUGGGAAAGAAAAGCAGCAGGUUAAUACCCCGCUGUUCUGACGGUACCCAAAGAAUAAGCACCGGCUAACUUCGUGC
Molecule: ribosomal RNA, 493 nt
Filed under: uncultured bacterium
Lineage: Bacteria
Description: partial 16S ribosomal RNA
Rfam family: Bacterial small subunit ribosomal RNA
Source: RNAcentral